GAUGAACGCUGGCGGCGUGCCUAAUACAUGCAAGUCGAGCGAACGGACGAGAAGCUUGCUUCUCUGAUGUUAGCGGCGGACGGGUGAGUAACACGUGGAUAACCUACCUAUAAGACUGGGAUAACUUCGGGAAACCGGAGCUAAUACCGGAUAAUAUUUUGAACCGCAUGGUUCAAAAGUGAAAGACGGUCCUGCUGUCACUUAUAGAUGGAUCCGCGCUGCAUUAGCUAGUUGGUAAGGUAACGGCUUACCAAGGCAACGAUGCAUAGCCGACCUGAGAGGGUGAUCCGCCACACUGGAACUGAGACACGGUCCAGACUCCUACGGGAGGCAGCAGUGGGGAAUCUUCCGCAAUGGGCGAAAGCCUGACGGAGCAACGCCGCGUGAGUGAUGAAGGUCUUCGGAUCGUAAAACUCUGUUAUUAGGGAAGAACAUAUGUGUAAGUAACUGUGCACAUCUUGACGGUACCUAAUCAGAAAGCCACGGCUAACUACGUG
RNAcentral lists this ribosomal RNA (497 nucleotides) under uncultured bacterium. RNAcentral's name for it is "partial 16S ribosomal RNA". It matches the Rfam family "Bacterial small subunit ribosomal RNA", at positions 28 to 507 of the family's 1533-position model. The record is from RNAcentral.